AUAACAACUGAAUGUAAUCAAAUCAUAUUGCAAGCAUGUACAUGGUUUCGAAUCACCCCCCAACUAAGGGGGGUUUAGUUCCUCAUACUCACAAAGCAAAGAUACAUAAAAUUAGACAUUAAAAUCAAAGGAAAGAAAACACCUAAAAUGCUUCAACUUGGUAGCAAGUGCAUCCAAGAUUCCUCUUUUCCCUUGCUUGCGGCAUGAAGCUUGUAGACAGAUUUUUGGG
This 229-nucleotide long non-coding RNA is filed under the name Malus domestica (apple). Its description in RNAcentral is "long non-coding RNA (MDOM_LNC010427)". The record is from RNAcentral. Lineage: Eukaryota; Viridiplantae; Streptophyta; Magnoliopsida; Rosales; Rosaceae.